This 401-nucleotide ribosomal RNA is filed under the name uncultured bacterium. Its description in RNAcentral is "bacterial SSU rRNA". It matches the Rfam family "Bacterial small subunit ribosomal RNA", at positions 356 to 774 of the family's 1533-position model. The record is from RNAcentral.
GGGGAAUAUUGGACAAUGGGCGCAAGCCUGAUCCAGCAAUGCCGCGUGGGUGAAGAAGGUUUUCGGAUUGUAAAGCCCUUUUGGCAGGGACGAUGAUGACGGUACCUGCAGAAUAAGCCCCGGCUAACUUCGUGCCAGCAGCCGCGGUAAUACGAAGGGGGCUAGCGUUGCUCGGAAUGACUGGGCGUAAAGGGCGCGUAGGCGGCCUGUACAGUCAGAUGUGAAAUUCCUGGGCUCAACCUGGGGACUGCAUUUGAUACGUGCGGGCUUGAGUGGAGAAGAGGGUCGUGGAAUUUCCAGUGUAGAGGUGAAAUUCGUAGAUAUUCGGAAGAACACCAGUGGCGAAGGCGACACACUGGCUCACUACUGACGCUGAGGCGCGAAAGCGUGGGGAGCAAACA